RNAcentral lists this ribosomal RNA (380 nucleotides) under uncultured eukaryote. RNAcentral describes it as "partial 18S ribosomal RNA". It matches the Rfam family "Eukaryotic small subunit ribosomal RNA", at positions 592 to 976 of the family's 1831-position model. The record is from RNAcentral.
CAAUAGCGUAUAUUAAAGUUGUUGCGGUUAAAAAGCUCGUAGUUGGAUUUCUGCCGAGGACGACCGGUCCGCCCUCUGGGUGUGUAUCUGGUUUGGCCUGGGCAUCUUCUUGGAGAACGUAGCUGCACUUGACUGUGUGGUGCGGUGUCCAGGACUUUUACUUUGAGGAAAUUAGAGUGUUUCAAGCAGGCACACGCCUUGAAUACAUUAGCAUGGAAUAAUAAGAUAGGACCUCGGUUCUAUUUUGUUGGUUUCUAGAGCUGAGGUAAUGAUUAAUAGGGAUAGUUGGGGGCAUUCGUAUUUAACUGUCAGAUGUGAAAUUCUUGGAUUUGUUAAAGACGGACUACUGCGAAAGCAUUUGCCAAGGAUGUUUUCAUUGA